UUUUAGCCCCGAUAGCAGUGGAAAUCCUUUUUGUGCCUGGGUUCGGCACAAAAGAUUGCAACGGAUAGCGGGAAAUUGC
RNAcentral lists this small RNA (79 nucleotides) under Flavobacterium fluvii. RNAcentral's name for it is "Flavobacterium sp. H7 Flavo-1 RNA". It matches the Rfam family "Flavo-1 RNA". Lineage: Bacteria; Pseudomonadati; Bacteroidota; Flavobacteriia; Flavobacteriales; Flavobacteriaceae. The record is from Rfam by way of RNAcentral.